This 348-nucleotide ribosomal RNA is filed under the name uncultured Sphingobacteriales bacterium. RNAcentral's name for it is "bacterial SSU rRNA". It matches the Rfam family "Bacterial small subunit ribosomal RNA", at positions 1034 to 1382 of the family's 1533-position model. Lineage: Bacteria; Pseudomonadati; Bacteroidota; Sphingobacteriia; Sphingobacteriales. The record is from RNAcentral.
CGAGGUGCUGCAUGGUUGUCGUCAGCUCGUGCCGUGAGGUGUCGGGUUAAGUCCCAUAACGAGCGCAACCCCUACCUUUAGUUGCCAUCAGGUUAAGCUGGGGACUCUAAAGGAACUGCCUACGCAAGUAGUGAGGAAGCGGGGAUGACGUCAAAUCAGCACGGCCCUUACGUCCAGGGCUACACACGUGCUACAAUGGCCGAUACAGAGGGCAGCUACCUGGUGACAGGAUGCAAAUCUCCAAAGUCGGUCUCAGUUCGGAUCGGAGUCUGCAACCCGACUCCGUGAAGUUGGAUUCGCUAGUAAUCGCGCAUCAGCCAUGGCGCGGUGAAUACGUUCCCGGGCCUU